This is a small nucleolar RNA of Rhineura floridana, 216 nucleotides long. RefSeq annotates it as small nucleolar RNA U3. The record is from RefSeq and is a predicted model, not a curated record. The transcript has a single exon. Lineage: Eukaryota; Metazoa; Chordata; Lepidosauria; Squamata; Rhineuridae.
AGGAUGACUACUUUCCGGGGUCAUUUAUAUAGUGUCACACUAGAAAAGGAUACUUGGAUGUAAUUGGUUGAGUGAACCAGGAGGUGUCAAAGUGUUCUCCUUUGAGUGGAAAGGCAGUGGGCGGCAGCAUUGCAUUUGUGCAUCUGCUGCUUGCUGUUGAUGACUGUUCUGCCCUCUUGUUAGAGGAUUGGUGGGAGAUAACACAGACUGAGAGAG